CCGUAAGGACGACCUUACGCAUCCGCGACAAACGGGGACGGCCCC
This 45-nucleotide non-coding RNA is filed under the name Burkholderia sp. RNAcentral's name for it is "Guanidine-II sequence". It matches the Rfam family "Guanidine-II riboswitch aptamer (mini-ykkC)". From Rfam's summary of the family: Simpler in structure and has fewer highly conserved nucleotide positions than the ykkC-yxkD leader. Despite this each of its two stem-loop structures directly bind free guanidine. Therefore, mini-ykkC RNA motif represents a distinct class of guanidine-sensing RNAs. The record is from RNAcentral. Lineage: Bacteria; Pseudomonadati; Pseudomonadota; Betaproteobacteria; Burkholderiales; Burkholderiaceae.